GACGAACGCUGGCGGCGUGCUUAACACAUGCAAGUCGAACGGUAAGGCUCCAGCUUGCUGGGGUACACGAGUGGCGAACGGGUGAGUAACACGUGGGUGACCUGCCCUGCACUUCGGGAUAAGCCUGGGAAACUGGGUCUAAUACCGGAUAGGACCGCACCGUGAGGGUGUGGUGGAAAGUUUUUUCGGUGUGGGAUGGGCCCGCGGCCUAUCAGCUUGUUGGUGGGGUAAUGGCCUACCAAGGCGGCGACGGGUAGCCGGCCUGAGAGGGUGGACGGCCACAUUGGGACUGAGACACGGCCCAGACUCCUACGGGAGGCAGCAGUGGGGAAUAUUGCACAAUGGGCGGAAGCCUGAUGCAGCGACGCCGCGUGGGGGAUGACGGCCUUCGGGUUGUAAACUCCUUUCACCAUCGACGAAGGGUUUCUGACGGUAGAUGGAGAAGAAGCACCGGCUAACUACGUGCCAGCAGCCGCGGUAAUACGUAGGGUGCGAGCGUUGUCCGGAAUUACUGGGCGUAAAGAGCUCGUAGGUGGUUUGUCGCGUCGUCUGUGAAAUUCCGGGGCUUAACUCCGGGCGUGCAGGCGAUACGGGCAUAACUUGAGUACUGUAGGGGAGACUGGAAUUCCUGGUGUAGCGGUGAAAUGCGCAGAUAUCAGGAGGAACACCGGUGGCGAAGGCGGGUCUCUGGGCAGUAACUGACGCUGAGGAGCGAAAGCAUGGGGAGCGAACAGGAUUAGAUACCCUGGUAGUCCAUGCCGUAAACGGUGGGCGCUAGGUGUGGGUUUCCUUCCACGGGAUCCGUGCCGUAGCUAACGCAUUAAGCGCCCCGCCUGGGGAGUACGGCCGCAAGGCUAAAACUCAAAGGAAUUGACGGGGGCCCGCACAAGCGGCGGAGCAUGUGGAUUAAUUCGAUGCAACGCGAAGAACCUUACCUGGGCUUGACAUAUACAGGAUCGCGCCAGAGAUGGUGUUUCCCUUAUGGCUUGUAUACAGGUGGUGCAUGGUUGUCGUCAGCUCGUGUCGUGAGAUGUUGGGUUAAGUCCCGCAACGAGCGCAACCCUUGUCUUAUGUUGCCAGCACGUUGUGGUGGGGACUCGUAAGAAACUGCCGGGGUUAACUCGGAGGAAGGUGGGGAUGACGUCAAAUCAUCAUGCCCCUUAUGUCCAGGGCUUCACACAUGCUACAAUGGUCGGUACAGUGGGUUGCCAGUCCGUGAGGGCGAGCUAAUCCCGCAAAGCCGGUCUCAGUUCGGAUCGGGGUCUGCAACUCGACCCCGUGAAGUCGGAGUCGCUAGUAAUCGCAGAUCAGCAACGCUGCGGUGAAUACGUUCCCGGGCCU
RNAcentral lists this ribosomal RNA (1341 nucleotides) under uncultured bacterium. RNAcentral describes it as "partial 16S ribosomal RNA". It matches the Rfam family "Bacterial small subunit ribosomal RNA", at positions 28 to 1381 of the family's 1533-position model. The record is from RNAcentral.